This 296-nucleotide ribosomal RNA is filed under the name uncultured bacterium. RNAcentral's name for it is "partial 16S ribosomal RNA". It matches the Rfam family "Bacterial small subunit ribosomal RNA", at positions 28 to 307 of the family's 1533-position model. The record is from RNAcentral.
GAUGAACGCUGGCGGCGUGCUUAACACAUGCAAGUCGAACGGGAAACAUUUUAUUGAAGCUUCGGCAGAUUUAGCUUGUUUCCAGUGGCGGACGGGUGAGUAACGCGUGGGUAACCUGCCUCACACUGGGGGAUAACAGUCAGAAAUGACUGCUAAUACCGCAUACGCGCACAGUACCGCAUGGUACAGUGUGAAAAACUCCGGUGGUGUGAGAUGGAUCCGCGUCUGAUUAGCCAGUUGGCGGGGUAACGGCCCACCAAAGCGACGAUCAGUAGCCGACCUGAGAGGGUGACCGG